ACUACUACAUCAUUGACGUUGAAC
RNAcentral lists this microRNA (24 nucleotides) under Populus trichocarpa (black cottonwood). Its description in RNAcentral is "ptc-miR480". Its record names the gene ptc-miR480. The record is from miRBase by way of RNAcentral. Lineage: Eukaryota; Viridiplantae; Streptophyta; Magnoliopsida; Malpighiales; Salicaceae.